RNAcentral lists this transfer RNA (70 nucleotides) under Erinaceus europaeus (western European hedgehog). It matches the Rfam family "tRNA". From Rfam's summary of the family: Transfer RNA (tRNA) molecules are approximately 80 nucleotides in length. Their secondary structure includes four short double-helical elements and three loops (D, anti-codon, and T loops). Lineage: Eukaryota; Metazoa; Chordata; Mammalia; Eulipotyphla; Erinaceidae. The record is from Rfam by way of RNAcentral.
GGAUGUGGCUCAGAAGUAGAACACAGACCUUGCAUGCCUGAGGCCCUGGGUUUGAAUCCUAGCACAUCCA